Molecule: ribosomal RNA, 242 nt
Filed under: uncultured bacterium
Lineage: Bacteria
Description: partial 16S ribosomal RNA
Rfam family: Bacterial small subunit ribosomal RNA
Source: RNAcentral
CGAGUGGCGGACGGGUGAGUAACGCGUGGGUAACCUGCCUCACACUGGGGGACAACAGUUAGAAAUGACUGCUAAUACCGCAUAAGCGCACAGGACCGCAUGGUCCGGUGUGAAAAACUCCGGUGGUGUGAGAUGGACCCGCGUUUGAUUAGCUAGUUGGUGGGGUAACGGCCUACCAAGGCGACGAUCAAUAGCCGACCUGAGAGGGUGACCGGCCACAUUGGGACUGAGACACGGCCCAA